UAUUCUCAAUCGAAGGUUGUAUUAUAAAUACCACAUGCAUAUGAUACGAAAUUUUAUAACCGAUCCAGUUCUGCUUCCGACGAGAUACUAACGUGCAACAUUUGGAUUAAGCGCUACGUUGAACGCUUUACGUUAUGAUCGUUGGAUAUCUAUAUUUAUUCCGGCCCGUCUCUAAGAGUUUUACAAUAGGAAUUUUGUUUUAGAACACGAGCCAAGACCGAAACUUUCAAGUACCAUAGAGGUAUCUUUACCUUGCUGUCUGUGCAAGCUGAGAACCAGCUAUAUAAGUCCGGAAACUCUCUAGACAUUAAUGUUAUAUAUCGGUAUAUGCACUAUGCUAUGUGUUUGGAUUUUGAUUACAGUUACAAGUUAUUUAAACUUAUGAACUUAAAUAAAAAUACAUGUAGAUCUCAGCAAAAUAUGACAGUCGAAAAUUAUUUAAUCCUAUCUUAGUUAUAAGUGUUCUUUGCUGCACCAACUUGACACAGGAGUGUAUUAACUUAUGACAUUGUCUUUGAUUGAAGAGUUCGAAUAAGGUUUUUGUUGAACAAUAACUUGGUAAUUUAUCGCUGUCUCUUACAAAAUGCAAACCUUAUUUUUGUAGUAUUUACAUGUGUUUUUAUACAUUUGAAAAGAACGCCUACAUUCACGGAUAUCUAGCACGAGAACACGUCCGCAUCUGAAAACAAGUUAUUCAAACUUGUUAUUUUUAGAUUAAAUUUAAUAGCGAUUUUAAAAGGGGUAAAGAGAGGUCAGCAUGGGUAACUGCAAUGGCAAUGAAAAACUGAUAGCAAAACUAUCGGAGAAUAUCGGCGAACUUUACAAUAACAUGACGAUUAUUGCGCACGCAACUAAUGAACUUGUCGACGUCAUCAACACUCAUCUCCAUGGAAAUCUUCCUCACGUGACAGUUACGGAACGGGAGAUGAUUCAAAUCAAUGCUGAACGCUUAGUAGAAUUAAAUAAUACUAUAAACGACUUCGUGGAGAAGAAUAUGAAAGACGUUAAAGUAAGGUUAGAGCCUGAAAUUUUCAGGAAUCUUUUGGAUAUUACAAUAUCAUCUGAAGAAGCAACUUGGCCAACAACAGCAGACGAGUUGAAAGAAGACAUUGAAAAAUCAAACACAUGUGUUACAGACCUAGAGAAAAAUACAGGACGAUAUAUCGAAGAUGUUGAAUCAAUUAAGGUUCAGACUGAGAGCAUGGCCUGAUCCAAUUUAUAAAGCACAAAAGCAUGAUUAUGGUAUCGAAAUGAUAUAGCCAUUGGUAGACGGCAGACACUAGAAGAUUUUAAGGUGGAAUCAUAAUGUGCCCAUAUACUAGUUUUACUGCCUUUUAUGUUUGUAUCUUUUCGAAAAACUUUUAUACAUUCAAGCAAAUCUUACUCCUGUUAUAAUAUAAAGAAGAGAUAAAUGCACCUUAAAAAAAUCAGACAGAUCUUUCGAGGUUGUUUUCCGGCUAAAUCUUCUGUGAGUGAUGGAAUUCUUAGUACAGUUUACUAUUAUGUGGUUAAAGUGGUAACAUGAAUAUGAAUAAUUUUGAUAUUUAAAACAAAGACUAGACUUCGGAAAAUAUGUUCUAUAAAUAAAUGAUACUUUCUAAAUCUUAUUCCUUUAAAUCUUUAAAUAAUACUUUACUCUUCUUACGCAAUUCUUAUAAUUUGACCAGUAUCAUUAACACCAAAUAAUGCUGUCUAUGGUGAACUGGGGAGAUUCCCACUAUCUAUUAUAGCAAAGAAGAGGUCUAUUAAAUUUUGGUUAAAGAUAAUGAAAUCUGACAAUUCAUCAUUAUAUAAUAUGUAUACUGACCAGUGUAAUAAUAUUGUUGGAACUUGCUGGGCAAGUCGUAUUAAUUCUAUUAUUGACCAUUUGGGUUUUUCACAUCUUUUGAAUAAUUUCAACAAAGAUUUUAAUUAUUUUCCUAAGUAUGAUAAAAAGAAGAUUAAGAGAUCAAUAUAUUCAGGACUGGAAUGGUUCACUUAAUAAUUGCUCUAAAUUAGACUGUUAUAAGAAAUUUAAAAGUUCAUUCGGUUACGAACAUUACCUGGAUAAAAUUGAAAAUGAUUCACUUCGGAUUGAGCUGUCUCGCUUAAGAUUAAGCUCACAUAGAUUAGAAAUUGAAAUGGGUAGAUUUAGAGGGAUUGAUAGAACUGACAGAUUAUGUAAAAUGUGUAAUGCGAAUGUCACAGAAACUGAAUAUCAUUUUUUAUUAUGCUGUACAAAAUACUUGCAAAUCCGUAGAAAAUACCUGACUCACAUAUCAUGACCAACGAUUAAUAAAUUUAAUACUUUAAUGUCGUCUACAAAUAAAAAACAUUGAAUGAUUUGUGUCGUUUUAUUAAAGAAGCUUUUGAAAUUCGUAAUAGCACUCUGGAAGUUAUGACUGUUUCUUAAACUGAACUGUAUAUUUUCUAUUUGUAAUAUGUUGCUGUGCUUAUUGUCUUUGCCAUAUUUCUUGUUUAUUAUUUGUAAAUGGCCAAAGGCAAAUUGUGUUUUGCUGAUUAUGCCAAUAAACUUGAAACUUGAAUUAAAAUUGCUAGAAGUACAAUUGUGAAAUUUGUAUUUCUAAAACAAUAUACUAAUAACAUAUCAAAAUUGCAAAAACAAUAAAAAAAAUAUAAUGGCUCGACUGAUUUUGGUCUUAAACAUAGUUUGAAUACAAUUAAUAGCAGCAUCAACUAUUUCAGAAAGAAGUUCAGCAAACUUUGAUGUUUUGUCACUGAAAAGCAAAACCUAUUAUAGUGCAUAAUUAAACAAUUCUAUAUUGCCAAAAGGCAAAAUAUAAAGUUUGUAUAUUGUUUUGUUUUGUUGGUAUUUAGCAAUGUGAUGUUGUAUACCUAAUGCCUUUGUAUAUUUGUCAAGCUUUAUGCAUAUAACAUGAUGUACCAAGGCUGAA
Molecule: long non-coding RNA, 2894 nt
Organism: Mercenaria mercenaria
Lineage: Eukaryota; Metazoa; Mollusca; Bivalvia; Venerida; Veneridae
Exons: 2
Source: RefSeq, a predicted model, not a curated record